AAAUAUGAAGUAAAUAUUACAUUUAGUUUCGACCUAAAAUUUUGGUGUUAACACCCUUAUUUA
Molecule: transfer RNA, 63 nt
Filed under: Nebrioporus cooperi
Lineage: Eukaryota; Metazoa; Arthropoda; Insecta; Coleoptera; Dytiscidae
Description: tRNA-Arg
Source: RNAcentral